This 357-nucleotide long non-coding RNA is filed under the name Homo sapiens (human). RNAcentral's name for it is "non-protein coding LINC00954:8". The record is from RNAcentral. Lineage: Eukaryota; Metazoa; Chordata; Mammalia; Primates; Hominidae.
CACUGAUUGGCAUGUGACCAAGUUGAUGGUGGUCAAAACAGAACUCCUUUCAUGCCCACAAGCUUCAGUAUUACUAUGUUCCCUGCCACUUCCGUUGAAGUUUUGCAGGAUUGGGAUGAUCCUUUGGUGUGAACGAAGCCCCAAAGAGGACCACGUGGAGAGUGCCUGACUGUUCCUGUGAUGUCUUCUAGUACAUGAACAGGAAUGAAACCCACUAUGUCCUCCAUGUGAACUACAUGCUGAGCGUGGGUCCAGAUGGGAAACCAUUCUCCUACCCUGCAGAAAUGGUAUAUAGUUUCAAGGAUGUGGGUAAGUACACCAAGUGAGGUGCUGGUCCUGGACUCAUGGAUGGUCUUG